Molecule: long non-coding RNA, 1128 nt
Organism: Frankliniella occidentalis (western flower thrips)
Lineage: Eukaryota; Metazoa; Arthropoda; Insecta; Thysanoptera; Thripidae
Exons: 6
Source: RefSeq, a predicted model, not a curated record
AUGCCAUUAUGACAGCCAAAAUGACGACAGCACAUGUGUCUGUCAUUGAAAAGCUGAAAGAACUAGGGCUUUGUGCAAAAGUUGUGACGACAAACUGGGAACAGGCUGAGAAGAAGGCAUGGAAGAGGGUGUUUUUAAGUAUUACACUCUGGGAGUGCCUUUUCCAUUACCAGUGUGUUAUCUAUAGACAGGCCAAGAAGAAGGGGUUGUUGCACCCCUUUAAAAAAGGGUGGCGACAAUGAAGUGGCUCGCCUUCUGAAAUUGGUUUUUGUCCUCCUUCGCCUUCCACCAAGAGAAAUUAAGAAAAGAUUUACAGCUAUCAAAAGAGAGGCAGAAACCAGGCUGGAAGGGAGAAUGGAGAGGAAAAUGAACAAACUGUUCAAAUACUUAGAAAACCAAAUGGCUCGCCCGAACAACUCCUGAAGAACUCUCUGUCUUCGAGAAGAAUGUAGUGGUGACGAAAGGUUUGGAGAUUGUUAAUGCCGGGAUCAACGAUCUCUUGCCCAUUGAAGCCCCCUCCUUUCUGUAUAUUUCUUGACUUGCUGAAGGAUUUUGACAAAGAGAUGUCUCAUAAGCACGACGCGGCGGUACACCGUGGGUGGGUGUAGCGGGCCUUGGCGGUGGGGUGCUUCUCUGGAGGUCAAUAUAGUAACCCCCUCCUCCUACUGACCUGACGGGUCGCGCUGGCUUGCGCUGUGCGAGCGGCUUUGGCGCGCGCUGGCCCAGGUCGAAUCGCUGGGAGAAUUGAGUCGUUAUGCUGCAACACGCCGGCCACAACUGUCUUUCAUCACGGCGAUCAAAUAGCUAUCAAUAAGUCGCAACGACGAACGGUUCGGAUGACUCAUUCACAUUGGGAUUGUGGUUGGCCGCCUUUGGCCUUUCGGCUCACCGGCCUGCGGAUGGGUGUCGGGCGAGAUCCUGCGCGAGAGCUGUGGCUGAAAAUAUAAAUAUCGAAAAGUGCACAGUUCUGCUUUUGGACGCGAAGGCUGUGCUACGACCGACGACCAUAUAUUGCCAGAUGUGCGGGUGUCAGCCGGCGGCGCUCUGUCGCGGUUACAGCAACCCCUGUGGAUACCGCCGUGGACCAAACCGAGGAAGUCCGAGCAAGACGACUCACCACCCUGGCAG